Molecule: ribosomal RNA, 474 nt
Filed under: uncultured bacterium
Lineage: Bacteria
Description: bacterial SSU rRNA
Rfam family: Bacterial small subunit ribosomal RNA
Source: RNAcentral
AUCAUGGCUCAGAACGAACGCUGGCGGCACGCCUAACACAUGCAAGUCGAGCGCACCUUCGGGUGAGCGGCGGACGGGUUAGUAACGCGUGGGAACAUACCCUUCACUACGGAAUAGCCUCGGGAAACUGAGAGUAAUACCGUAUACGUCCUCCGGGAGAAAGAUUUAUCGGUGAAGGAUUGGCCCGCGUUAGAUUAGAUAGUUGGUGGGGUAACGGCCUACCAAGUCUACGAUCUAUAGCUGGUUUGAGAGGAUGAUCAGCAACACUGGGACUGAGACACGGCCCAGACUCCUACGGGAGGCAGCAGUGGGGAAUCUUAGACAAUGGGCGAAAGCCUGAUCUAGCGAUGCCGCGUGAGUGACGAAGGCCUUAGGGUCGUAAAGCUCUUUCGCCAGGGAUGAUAAUGACAGUACCUGGUAAAGAAACCCCGGCUAACUCCGUGCCAGCAGCCGCGGUAAUACGGAGGGGGUUAG